UGUACACACCCAUGAGACUAACAAACAACAUAAAUGCAACGGUCCUUUUUCCUAGUACACCAUCCGGAUUAUCAGAAAAAGUGGCUGCAAAUAACCAAAAAGAGAGACCUUCUGCAGGAAGAAUCAAAGCAUACAGCAGCUCAAAUAAAUGUUGCACAAGUACGCGAUUCUUGGCUAUAAAAUCCCCUGCAUAUGCAUCAAACCUUCCCCUCACACACACCACAAGAAUUCAUCAAAUUUAGAGAGUUAGAAAGCUGGUUGUCUUAGGAACAAGAACUCGAGACAGUGACUACUUAAAGAGGGGCGUCGUCGCACGUCAAGUGAGACCAAGUCGAGGAACGUUCAAUUGAGAGAUUAAGAAAACGAGGUUGAACGUGUGCGAGGAGGCGAAGGUGUUGGGAAAUGACCAUUAAUAAGUAGUUAGGUAGCCCAAAGUAGUACGUCUUCAUUCGUACUAUUUUGUCUUGGACU
Salvia splendens (bonfire salvia) is the source of this 471-nucleotide long non-coding RNA. RefSeq lists it as uncharacterized. Lineage: Eukaryota; Viridiplantae; Streptophyta; Magnoliopsida; Lamiales; Lamiaceae. The transcript has 3 exons. The record is from RefSeq and is a predicted model, not a curated record.